This 30-nucleotide non-coding RNA is filed under the name Homo sapiens (human). Lineage: Eukaryota; Metazoa; Chordata; Mammalia; Primates; Hominidae. The record is from RNAcentral.
UGAUGUGAUUUGGUCAAAUGGACAAUGAGC